GCGGACAGAUGGGAGCUUGCUCCCUGAAGUCAGCGGCGGACGGGUGAGUAACACGUGGGCAACCUGCCUGUAAGACUGGGAUAACUCCGGGAAACCGGGGCUAAUACCGGAUAAUUCUUUCCCUCACAUGAGGGAAAGCUGAAAGAUGGUUUCGGCUAUCACUUACAGAUGGGCCCGCGGCGCAUUAGCUAGUUGGUGAGGUAACGGCUCACCAAGGCAACGAUGCGUAGCCGACCUGAGAGGGUGAUCGGCCACACUGGGACUGAGACACGGCCCAGACUCCUACGGGAGGCAGCAGUAGGGAAUCUUCCGCAAUGGACGAAAGUCUGACGGAGCAACGCCGCGUGAGUGAUGAAGGUUUUCGGAUCGUAAAACUCUGUUGUUAGGGAAGAACAAGUACCGGAGUAACUGCCGGUACCUUGACGGUACCUAACCAGAAAGCCACGGCUAACUACGUGCCAGCAGCCGCGGUAAUACGUAGGUGGCAAGCGUUGUCCGGAAUUAUUGGGCGUAAAGCGCGCGCAGGCGGUUCCUUAAGUCUGAUGUGAAAGCCCCCGGCUCAACCGGGGAGGGUCAUUGGAAACUGGGGAACUUGAGUGCAGAAGAGAAGAGUGGAAUUCCACGUGUAGCGGUGAAAUGCGUAGAGAUGUGGAGGAACACCAGUGGCGAAGGCGACUCUUUGGUCUGUAACUGACGCUGAGGCGCGAAAGCGUGGGGAGCAAACAGGAUUAGAUACCCUGGUAGUCCACGCCGUAAACGAUGAGUGCUAAGUGUUAGAGGGUUUCCGCCCUUUAGUGCUGCAGCAAACGCAUUAAGCACUCCGCCUGGGGAGUACGGCCGCAAGGCUGAAACUCAAAGGAAUUGACGGGGGCCCGCACAAGCGGUGGAGCAGGUGGUUUAAUUCGAAGCAACGCGAAGAACCUUACCAGGUCUUGACAUCU
Molecule: ribosomal RNA, 941 nt
Filed under: Bacillus sp. (in: firmicutes)
Lineage: Bacteria; Bacillati; Bacillota; Bacilli; Caryophanales; Bacillaceae
Description: bacterial SSU rRNA
Rfam family: Bacterial small subunit ribosomal RNA
Source: RNAcentral